UCCCCUAACUGGGCUGCCUUGUCGAGCUU
This 29-nucleotide non-coding RNA is filed under the name Rattus norvegicus (Norway rat). Lineage: Eukaryota; Metazoa; Chordata; Mammalia; Rodentia; Muridae. The record is from RNAcentral.